Long non-coding RNA from Drosophila simulans, 196 nucleotides. RefSeq lists it as uncharacterized. NCBI's taxonomy places the organism in Eukaryota, Metazoa, Arthropoda, Insecta, Diptera, Drosophilidae. The transcript is spliced from 2 exons. The record is from RefSeq and is a predicted model, not a curated record.
CCACCUAACCAUCCACUCGGCAACUAAGUGAUCGAUCUAUCUUCCCCAUAUUUGAGCUUCAAUCGGCGAUGUUUUUUUAUGCGGUUAUUAAUAAAAUGCAUUGGCCAUCCCUGCCCGUCGAUAGCUGCGUCCGCUGCCGUCUGCUGAAACUGCGGCGCUUUGCUGACGCUGGUAAACAUGUGUACGACACCAAAAA